RNAcentral lists this long non-coding RNA (614 nucleotides) under Triticum aestivum (bread wheat). RNAcentral's name for it is "long non-coding RNA (TAES_LNC023268)". The record is from RNAcentral. Lineage: Eukaryota; Viridiplantae; Streptophyta; Magnoliopsida; Poales; Poaceae.
AUCAGUGAAGGUUUAACCAGCCUUGCUACAACAACAAUGAAAUAUUAUUAACUGAACAACAUUCUACAAUCCUAUAUAGAUGGAAUAAUGGUUCACCUUUUCUUUCCACAAAAUUCUGAUCGAAGAUUUGAACAGAUUCAGCAAAAAAACAUGGUUAACAUGUAAAAUGCCGCUAGACGAUUUCAAUAUAAAGAAGAAAAAAAAUCAUGUCAUCUCCACCUGCAUACUAAACUUCCUAAUCGACAACUAAUGCCACGAUAUAUGGGUCUUUGGCCUGACAAUACUCUCCACCGGCAAUGUCUCGUCCUUCCGCUAGAUAUCCACCUUUAAAUUUGAAGAAUUUAAAUACUACAGUAGUAACUAACACAUCUGCUCUCAGGUAUGAAUUCUUAAAAAUAGGGGCCGCCAUACUCUGCAAUAUACAUGCAUAACAACAAAAAUGAUACAUGAGAACAUUUGAUUUUGAAUAAGAUUGCUCGUAAUCAUCCAUAGAAACUUGCUACAAAAAUAGUUUUCAUUACGCAUACCUGAACAUAUGACAUGCCUAUCAUGGCCUUCAUUGCAAUGUAAACACACAUACAUCAAAUUAUCAAUAAAUCAAGUUCCUCACAUUC